GGGCUUGUAGCUCAGUUGGAAGAGCGCCGCCUUUGCAAGGCGGAGGCCCUGGGUUCAAAUCCCAGCAAGUCCACUA
RNAcentral lists this transfer RNA (76 nucleotides) under uncultured archaeon. RNAcentral describes it as "tRNA Ala". It matches the Rfam family "tRNA". Rfam says of the family: Transfer RNA (tRNA) molecules are approximately 80 nucleotides in length. Their secondary structure includes four short double-helical elements and three loops (D, anti-codon, and T loops). Further hydrogen bonds mediate the characteristic L-shaped molecular structure. tRNAs have two regions of fundamental functional importance: the anti-codon, which is responsible for specific mRNA codon recognition, and the 3' end, to which the tRNAs corresponding amino acid is attached (by aminoacyl-tRNA synthetases). tRNAs cope with the degeneracy of the genetic code in two manners: having more than one tRNA (with a specific anti-codon) for a particular amino acid; and 'wobble' base-pairing, i.e. permitting non-standard base-pairing at the 3rd anti-codon position. The record is from RNAcentral.